This 467-nucleotide ribosomal RNA is filed under the name uncultured bacterium. RNAcentral describes it as "partial 16S ribosomal RNA". It matches the Rfam family "Bacterial small subunit ribosomal RNA", at positions 28 to 507 of the family's 1533-position model. The record is from RNAcentral.
GACGAACGCUGGCGGCGUGCUUAACACAUGCACGUCGAACGGUGAAGCAGAGCUUGCUCUGUGGCUCAGUGGCGAACGGGUGAGUAACACGUGAGUAACCUGCCCUUGACUUUGGGAUAAGCGUUGGAAACGACGUCUAAUCCCGGAUAAGAGCUGAGACCGCCAGGUAAUCCUUCGGAAAGAUUUUUUGUUCAAGGAUGGACUCGCGGCCUAUCAGCUUGUUGGUGCGGUAAUGGCUCACCAAGGCGACGACGGGUAGCCGGCCUGAGUGGGUGACCGGCCACACAGGGAAUGAGACACGGCCCAGACUCCUACGGGAGGCAGCAGUGGGGAAUAUUGCACAAUGGGCGCAAGCCUGAUGCAGCAACGCCGCGUGAGGGAUGACGGCCUUCGGGUUGUAAACCUCUUUUAGUAGGGAAGAAGCGAAAGUGACGUUACCUGCAGAAAAAGCACCGGCUAACUACGUG